This 405-nucleotide ribosomal RNA is filed under the name uncultured bacterium. Its description in RNAcentral is "partial 16S ribosomal RNA". It matches the Rfam family "Bacterial small subunit ribosomal RNA", at positions 29 to 525 of the family's 1533-position model. The record is from RNAcentral.
AUUGAACGCUGGCGGCAGGCCUAACACAUGCAAGUCGAGCGAGCGGCGGACGGGUGAGUAAUGUCUGGGAAACUGCCUGAUGGAGGGGGAUAACUACUGGAAACGGUAGCUAAUACCGCAUACCAUCGGAUGUGCCCAGAUGGGAUUAGCGAGUAGGUGGGGUAAAGGCUCACCUAGGCGACGAUCCCUCGCUGGUCUGAGAGGAUGACCAGCCACACUGGAACUGAGACACGGUCCAGACCCCGAGGGGAGGCAGCAGGGGGGAAUAUGGGAAAAUGGGCGCAAGCCGGAUGCAGCAAUGCCGCGUGGAGGAAGAAGGCCUUGGGGUUGUAAAGUACUUUCAGAGGGGAGGCGUUACCAGCAGAAGAGGCACCGGCUAACUCCUGGCCAACAGCCGCGGUAAUG